CACGCCGUAAACGAAUGCGCGUUAGGUGUAUCGACGACCACGAGUCGUCGAGGUGCCGAAGGGAAACCGUGAAACGUGCCGCCUGGGAAGUACGGUCGCAAGGCUGAAACUUAAAGGAAUUGGCGGGGGGAGGCACCACAACAGGUGGAGCCUGCGGUUUAAUUGGACUCAACGCCGGAAAUCUCACCGGAUAAGACAGCAGAAUGAUUGCCGGGCUGAAGACUCUGCAUGACUAGCUGAGAGGUGGUGCAUGGCGUCAGUGACU
This 265-nucleotide ribosomal RNA is filed under the name uncultured archaeon. Its description in RNAcentral is "partial 16S ribosomal RNA". It matches the Rfam family "Archaeal small subunit ribosomal RNA", at positions 747 to 1008 of the family's 1478-position model. The record is from RNAcentral.